CCUGAGUGCCCUGUAGCAGCACAUCAUGGUUUGUAAGUUAUAAGGGCAAAUUCCGAAUCAUGAUGUGCUGUCACUGGGAGCCUGGG
Non-coding RNA from Danio rerio (zebrafish), 86 nucleotides. The record is from Rfam. NCBI's taxonomy places the organism in Eukaryota, Metazoa, Chordata, Actinopteri, Cypriniformes, Danionidae.